GUGAGUCAUCGAAUCUUUGAACGCACAUUGCGCCCUUUGGUAUUCCUUAGGGCAUGCCUGUUCGAGCGUCAUCUAACCCUUCAAGCAUUGCUUGGUGUUGGGCGUUUGUCCCGCCUCUGGCGUGGACUCGCCUCAAAGACAUUGGCGGCCUGUGUAUUGGCUUCGAGCGCAGCAGACUCGCGCGUCGUCCCCUCUAGCACCAGGUGUCCAGUAAGCCUAUAACCCCAAAGUUUGACCUCGGAUCAGGUAGGGAUACCCGCUGAACUUAAGCAUAUCAAUAAGCGGAGGA
Molecule: unclassified non-coding RNA, 289 nt
Filed under: Hermatomyces sp.
Lineage: Eukaryota; Fungi; Ascomycota; Dothideomycetes; Pleosporales; Hermatomycetaceae
Description: partial contains 5.8S ribosomal RNA, internal transcribed spacer 2, and large subunit ribosomal RNA
Rfam family: 5.8S ribosomal RNA (bases 1-71)
Source: RNAcentral